This 449-nucleotide ribosomal RNA is filed under the name uncultured bacterium. RNAcentral describes it as "bacterial SSU rRNA". It matches the Rfam family "Bacterial small subunit ribosomal RNA", at positions 335 to 784 of the family's 1533-position model. The record is from RNAcentral.
ACUCCUACGGGAGGCAGCAGUGGGGAAUAUUGCACAAUGGGCGCAAGCCUGAUGCAGCCAUGCCGCGUGUGUGAAGAAGGCCUUCGGGUUGUAAAGCACUUUCAGUCGUGAGGAAGGUGGUAGUGUUAAUAGCACUAUCAUUUGACGUUAGCGACAGAAGAAGCACCGGCUAACUCCGUGCCAGCAGCCGCGGUAAUACGGAGGUGCGAGCGUUAAUCGGAAUUACUGGGCGUAAAGCGCAUGCAGGUGGUUGUUAAGUCAGAUGUGAAAGCCCGGGGCUCAACCUCGGAAUAGCAUUUGAAACUGGCAGACUAGAGUACUGUAGAGGGGGUAGAAUUUCAGGUGUAGCGGUGAAAUGCGUAGAGAUCUGAAGGAUACCGGUGCGAAGCGGCCCCUGGACAGAUACUGACACUCAGAUGCGAAAGCGUGGGAGCAAACAGGAUUAGAUA